GCGGGUGUAACUCAGAUGGUAGAGUAUUGGCCUUCCAAGCCAACUGUCGAGGGUUCGAACCCCUUCGCCCGCUCCA
RNAcentral lists this transfer RNA (76 nucleotides) under Candidatus Thiomargarita nelsonii. Its description in RNAcentral is "tRNA-Gly". It matches the Rfam family "tRNA". Rfam says of the family: Transfer RNA (tRNA) molecules are approximately 80 nucleotides in length. Their secondary structure includes four short double-helical elements and three loops (D, anti-codon, and T loops). Further hydrogen bonds mediate the characteristic L-shaped molecular structure. tRNAs have two regions of fundamental functional importance: the anti-codon, which is responsible for specific mRNA codon recognition, and the 3' end, to which the tRNAs corresponding amino acid is attached (by aminoacyl-tRNA synthetases). tRNAs cope with the degeneracy of the genetic code in two manners: having more than one tRNA (with a specific anti-codon) for a particular amino acid; and 'wobble' base-pairing, i.e. permitting non-standard base-pairing at the 3rd anti-codon position. Lineage: Bacteria; Pseudomonadati; Pseudomonadota; Gammaproteobacteria; Thiotrichales; Thiotrichaceae. The record is from RNAcentral.